UCCGGAGGACUAAGAAAGUGGAGCCAGUGGCACUAUAUUGACUCCAUUGAUACUAUCCUCCUAAAUUAAAUGGUAGAAGAACAAGGCCUGCCUGUGAGAUAAAAGUCAGGACCUACUUGAUCUACCUACAAUGU
Cyanistes caeruleus (blue tit) is the source of this 134-nucleotide non-coding RNA. NCBI's taxonomy places the organism in Eukaryota, Metazoa, Chordata, Aves, Passeriformes, Paridae. The record is from Ensembl.